Gymnogyps californianus (California condor) is the source of this 2642-nucleotide long non-coding RNA. RefSeq lists it as uncharacterized. The record is from RefSeq and is a predicted model, not a curated record. The transcript has 2 exons. NCBI's taxonomy places the organism in Eukaryota, Metazoa, Chordata, Aves, Accipitriformes, Cathartidae.
UGGAAAGCAUAAUGUUUCCCAAGGCUGAUCAGAGUGCAGUUGAGGUCCCACCACUUACCCAGAAGCAUGCCUGGAGGCCCAGUCUAACCAUUUGAGUUUGGAGGCUGAAGAGUUUGUCUGCUAUGCUUUAGCUUCUCUCAUCUCACAAUGUGUUCUGCAACUUCUGGAAAGGAACCUGGACACAAGGAAAAAUGCUACAGAACAAAAAGAGCCACAAUACAAACCAUAUGACAACGCCUAUUUCUUCAUCCUCUUUGUCAUGUUGUUUUACUCUUUCCUGGCGUUAACUGUCUUUUUUGGUUAUGUACGCUCGAAGAAAGCUAUUUCAAAGAAAGAUCCUUACCAGGAGUUCAUCGAGGAUAGGAAUCGAAAUAAGAAGUGGAACGUGACCCGGCCGGUGGUGGUGAAAUUUGACUUUGAAGAAGAAAGUAUUCUUUGAACUCCUUAAACCAAAAUACUCUGUAAAAUGCACCGGACUGUCUCUGCUGCCUACAUCUCAAGUGAAGAUCUACACAUUUAUCUUGUUCGGCUGUCCCCCUCACAAUAAAUCAAAGCAUUGCUUAAAAUAGGUAAUGGAAAAAGAAGUUUCUUUCUUUCUUUUUCUUGUAAUCCAUUUGUUGCUGGAAUGUAGCUUUUCUAAAUAUUGGAGAAAUCUUGUAAACUUUAAAAUGGAGUGAAAAGUGGCCAUUUUUAGCUUUCGCUUCCAGUUUGGUGGAACAAGAAUGGGAAUCCAUGCUACGUCGAGACUCUGAAUUUAUUUAAGACAGAGGACUAGUUUGUGUAUGCACAUAGUCCAGGGGAAUGCUGUUGCUUCCGAGUUGUUCAGACCUGGAAACUGUUGUGCCUGGAAAGUGCCUCCCUCAAAUAGCAGAACACAUUUUAUCAUGCCUAGACCAGCAAAUACUCUUUAACAUGUAAAUAUAGAAAAGCUCUUCUUGCAUUCCCUUCCCUCAAAAAUUAAUUUCACAUGCUAUGGCAAAAGAUUCAAAAAAACAUCUGCAAAAUGUAAUUAAAAUGCAUCUAGUGGAAAAACAGGUUGUGUAUUCAGCAAAUUUGGAGUCCUUGCCUUUUCCAUCUCUUGUAUGUAUUUAUUCUUUGCUAGUUUCUUAUUGAAAUGUAUGUUUCAGUCCUAGUGAAUGGUAACUACAGCUGAUCACAAAUCUAACAGAGGAUGGCUUCUCUGUAUCUGCAAUAAAUAUUUUCUAAAAUGUUGCACAAGCUUCAUUCAGAGUUGUACUGAAUACGUGAGAUUGCCAUCUGAUUUAUUAAUUUUUCUCCUGCUUAAUAAGUAUUAAAGAGAAUAACCGUUCUGACAUAGAACGUAUUGCUGUGCUUAAUAUAAAAGAACAGUGCUUAUUGCUUUGUGAUAUCAUGCAUGUGAUAGACACACACUGCUUUGUGGUAGCACAUGUGUAUAGUCUUCUGAGACUUUCGUUUGUUUGCCGCCUUAUCUAGGGUCUCUCAAUUUAUGGUCUUUACUUGCUAUAGAACUGCUUAGAUACAUUACAUGUAUCUGCAUUACAGAUCCAGUUGCUGCUCAGAGGGCUAUCUGAGCACAGUAAUCAUUUUCAGGUGGUAGGUAGGCUCUGAUUUUUCCCUUAAUAUGCAUAUGAAAACAAAGUAGAACAAAUAAAUUUUCAUGAAUGUACUAACUUUUCUUUUUCUGCCAGUGGAAUUAUAAUGUUAAGAAUUUGAUUUUCUUAAGUGUGUAGUGUUCAUGAUUACACGUUGACUAUUUUAGAUGUGUAGAUUUUUAAUUCUUUCAAUAUUUAGAAGAAGUUUUUAUAUGUAUUCAGCCUGGGCUGAGCGAUCAGAUGUUGUUGUUCCUGUUUCCUGAUGGGAUGUGUUAAGUGUUUCUGGUGUGUGUGCAAGCAGGGAGGUUGAUGCUAUGCAUGACCCUCUUCUCAUAAAACUAAAAUUUGCUUCCCACUUAUCAGCAUGAAUGUUUGUAGAAGUAGCUGUGUUGGCUCAGGUCAUAGUGCUCUGUCUCUGAUAGGUGUGCCAGUGGAAGAUAAUAAGAAUAAGGUGGUACUUUCUCAGUUGUGCUUGCCCAGCCUCCAAGGAUUUGUUGGUCGGGGACCAUCUGAGCCAGAGGCCACUCGUUUUGUCUAAAUGUGGGGGUGGGAUAUGUGCAGAAUACUGAUGUGGAAGUGUAUGAACAUAAGCAUUUUAACAGGCCAGAAAAUGUUCACAGAUGUAUUUUUGCUGAAUUCAUCCAACUCCAAUUUAAAUGGUUUUGACUAUAGAAACAAGACCAGAGUUGCAGUUCUUGCACAAAUCAGUGUUUCGUCUAUGUUAUACGUGUCCUGGCUGCUUCAUCUAGAAAGUUUGGGGUGAAAAAAAAGAAAGUUGAAGUCAUCUUUGUUCCCAUCAUGCUCCUGACUUUGGAGUGUAUGAAAUGAAAAUCACUCUCAGUUGGGCGUCUUGUAACGGCUCAGAGCAAGCGGGGAGACUUACUCUUUCGAAUGCGGAGUUCUGGAUGUCUGAAGGACACCUGUCCUCUGAAAGGGUGUGUAAAUGUGGAUUUGCUCUCCUGACAGAAGAUCCUUUCUAUUUUUAUCUUGUAAUCAGUGUUUUUUUGAUUCUUUGCAGUGUAUGCUAUGUCAUCUUAAAAAUUAAAGAUCAAUUUUUUUGAAACUUCA